Molecule: long non-coding RNA, 1189 nt
Organism: Peromyscus leucopus (white-footed mouse)
Lineage: Eukaryota; Metazoa; Chordata; Mammalia; Rodentia; Cricetidae
Exons: 2
Source: RefSeq, a predicted model, not a curated record
UCGCUCCUCCUCCAAGAAGCCAUCCUGUCCCUCCGAGCUCAGGGUCUUGCACCCGCCCCACGGUACUUGGAGCGCAAAGGUCCCCAUCUCCAUGCAGGGCCCAGCUCCGCUCGAUUGCUCCUUGACCAUGCAGUUCCACACCUUCACACGCAGAUGGCAGAGGACUUGGUGGCGCGUACUCCCUUCCCGUGGGGGAUUCACUGGGCUGCUCAUCUGGGGUCCAGCACAGAGCACUGACCCUGUCCUUAGGACCGCACGGAAAUCCACUUAGAUGGGCAAAUGCUUGCACACCGAACACCUUCAGUUCUGCCCUCAGCCCUGCUGUUGACCCAGGCUGACAAGGAUGCCUGCUGAUGGCUGCACAGGCCUUGGAAACUCACAUGGAGCUGCCUGGGUUUCUGACCACUGAGCCAUCUCUCCAAUUCUUCACCACCGUAUGUUAUCAGCAAGACUGACUUAUACAAACAGGUAAAUCAAGAGAGGAUUGACAGAAGAAUUUCAUCAGAUCCAAGUUUCCAGAAUGGUGAAAGGGAGCGAGGCUGCCGCACAACCCCAGAUGGAGACGAACAAGGGGAGGAUGGCAGGAAAUGGGUGGUGGGUAGUGGGGGACUGCUAUCCAGCUCAUGGCUGGUAAGUGAAUACAUCUAGGUUCUGGAACUUCUCUUGGUGGGCAUCAUGGAAAACUAGCUCAUUUUUUUUUUUUUUUUAAACUUAUAAAGUGUAAGAAGCUGCCAAGCUAACAUGGGGUUCUGACUGUCACCAUGGCUCCUGGGAAAGCUCAUCCUGUGUACUGGGUGAUACUAGUUCUGGAGUAAACUGUGAGAGUACCUAACAAAAAGUAUUCCAGGGCUGGCAGCUGAGAGUGGCCGAGUAUCUGAACAGAGUCCUAUAAAAACCUUAGGGUCACCUACAUAGCCUCUGAGGGACUAUAUGCCCUAUCCCCCCAAUAACCAAAAAAAUCUUUUCAAAACCUUCAGGCCACACAGAUAGUAUUUCCCAGGAAAUAAACAGCCUAAUGUUUUGGCAGCAGUCAAAAGCUACACUGAAGAUGGAUAUAGAGGUUAUUGCCUAUAGACCCAGCACUUAGAGGCAGAGGCAGGAGAAUCACUGCAAGCUCAAAGCCAGUCUGCUUUGUAGGGAGUGGUAGGCCAUCCAGGGAUAGAUAACAAGACUGUCUCAAAAAAAAAAA